Molecule: small nuclear RNA, 105 nt
Filed under: Sorex araneus (European shrew)
Lineage: Eukaryota; Metazoa; Chordata; Mammalia; Eulipotyphla; Soricidae
Source: RNAcentral
AUUCUGUUUUAAAAAAUGAGUCUCAAAACUGGAACAACGUGGAGAAGAUUAGCAUGGCCCCCAUGUAAGCAUGACAAGCAAAUUCGUGAAGUGUUCCAUAUUUUA